UUCUAGCACUUCCUCCUGUCUUUCGGGUAAAAGAGCAGUGAGGGCCUCCAGGGAUCCAGGGAUAGCGGAAAUCCUGAAGCAGUUAUGGCUGUGACGAACCAGGUGCUUGAUUACUAUGGUUGCAGCUUUCCUGAUUUCGGCCUCACUAGGAUCCUUCCAGGUGAUCAUCUCUAAGAGUCUCUCCACAACUCCGGGCGUGGUACCAAUCCUCCGUUGCGUUUCUUCCAUUGAAUCUCCUUUUGAGACAAGAGCUGACAGUAUGUUGACGCUACCGAGCUGCUCUUCCCUUAUGCUUGACUGCAGCUUCUCGACGGUGAAAUCGAUAAGGUCCAUUCCCAGGCCAUCAAACACGCUUCCGUUCAGCGAUCGUGAGUACAAUGUGUACCAGUACUGCUUCAUGGUUUCAAUGUCGUCUUGAUCAAGCUCACAUGUUCGAGUGACUACUUCCAGCAACCUCUGGUAACGAAGCUUGAAUUCCCAAUAUGUUCUCUCCAGGAGGAAUAGCGACGUUUCUGCCAGCAUCAUCGCGUAAAACACAGUAAGUGCUUGCUCAGUGUUGUUUCCUUGGGCAUUGAAGCCGUGCUCGGCAAGUCGAUAUACUGAGAAACAUGCGGUGACUGUUGCAGAAGCAAGCUGGAGGAAGUACAUGAAAAGGCUGAUGAUCCUGGUGGGGAGGAACUUUACAUACGCGCUUCCCACGCACCAAAUUCUUCUGGCAGCGAAUCCCUGGUGUAAAUCUUUCUUUACUGGUUUUUUGGAAAGUCGAUCUCUACUCACGUUCUGUUCAGAGUGGUCAUGGUCCAAGACUCCAGAGAACUUCUCCCAUAAUCUGGCGCUCUUGUCGAACAGGAACGAUCUGAAGCCGAGAAUUCCC
This 874-nucleotide long non-coding RNA is filed under the name Selaginella moellendorffii. RNAcentral describes it as "long non-coding RNA (SMOE_LNC001941)". The record is from RNAcentral. Lineage: Eukaryota; Viridiplantae; Streptophyta; Lycopodiopsida; Selaginellales; Selaginellaceae.